This 305-nucleotide ribosomal RNA is filed under the name uncultured bacterium. Its description in RNAcentral is "bacterial SSU rRNA". It matches the Rfam family "Bacterial small subunit ribosomal RNA", at positions 335 to 637 of the family's 1533-position model. The record is from RNAcentral.
GUUCUACGGGAGGCAGCAGUAAGGAAUAUUGGUCAAUGGCCGAGAGGCUGAACCAGCCAAGUCGCGUGAGGGAUGACGGCCCUACGGGUUGUAAACCUCUUUUGUCGGGGAGCAAGACCCGCCUCGUGCAGGCGGAGCGAGAGUACCCGAAGAAAAAGCAUCGGCUAACUCCGUGCCAGCAGCCGCGGUAAUACGGAGGAUGCGAGCGUUAUCCGGAUUUAUUGGGGGUAAAGGGAGCGUAGACGGCGAUGCAAGUCUGAAGUGAAAGGCGGGGGCCCAACCCCCGGACUGCUUUGGAAACUGUA